Molecule: ribosomal RNA, 697 nt
Filed under: uncultured Methanosaeta sp.
Lineage: Archaea; Methanobacteriati; Methanobacteriota; Methanomicrobia; Methanotrichales; Methanotrichaceae
Description: bacterial SSU rRNA
Rfam family: Archaeal small subunit ribosomal RNA
Source: RNAcentral
UCCGGUUGAUCCUGGCAGAGGUUACUGCUAUCGAGGUUCGACUAAGCCAUGCGAGUCGAAUGUAGCAAUACAUGGCGUACUGCUCAGUAACACGUGGACAACCUGCCCUUGAGACGGGGAUAAACCCGGGAAACUGGGUAUAAUACCCGAUAGAUCUCGAUUGCUGGAAUGCAUCGAGUUCUAAAGCUCCGGCGCUCAAGGAUGGGUCUGCGGCCUAUCAGGUAGUAGUGGGUGUAGCGUACCUACUAGCCUACGACGGGUGCGGGUUGUGAGAGCAAGAGCCCGGAGAUGGAUUCUGAGACACGAAUCCAGGCCCUACGGGGUGCAGCAGGCGCGAAAACUUUACAAUGCUGGAAACAGCGAUAAGGGGACCUCGAGUGCCAGGUUACAAAUCUGGCUGUCGUGAUGCCUAAAAAGCAUUGCAUAGCAAGGGCCGGGCAAGACCGGUGCCAGCCGCCGCGGUAACACCGGCGGCUCGAGUGGUAACCGUUAUUAUUGGGUCUAAAGGGUCUGUAGCCGGCCGGAUAAGUCUCUUGGGAAAUCUGGCAGCUUAACUGUCAGGCUUUCAGGAGAUACUGUCUGGCUCGAGGCCGGGAGAGGUGAGAGGUACUUCAGGGGUAGGGGUGAAAUCUUGUAAUCCUUGAAGGACCACCAGUGGCGAAGGCGUUUCACCAGAACGGACCUGACGGCAAGGGAC